This 1242-nucleotide ribosomal RNA is filed under the name metagenome. RNAcentral's name for it is "bacterial LSU rRNA". It matches the Rfam family "Bacterial large subunit ribosomal RNA", at positions 1564 to 2815 of the family's 2925-position model. The record is from RNAcentral.
UGAAUACGAGAUGCUACGGCAUCGAAGCAGUCUAUGUCAUACUUCCAAGAAAAGCUUGCACUGUCAUAAACAAAUAAUGCCUGUACCAUAACCGACACAGGUGGGUAGGUAGAGCAUACUAAGGGGCGCGAGAUAACUCUCUCUAAGGAACUCGGCAAAAUGACUCCGUAACUUCGGGAGAAGGAGUGCCUUAUUUUAUAAGGUUGCAAUAACAAGAUCCAAGCAACUGUUUACCAAAAACACAGGUCUCCGCUAAGUCGUAAGACGAUGUAUGGGGGCUGACGCCUGCCCAGUGCCAGAAGGUUAAAGAAGUUGGUUAGCAUUAGCGAAGCUGAUAACUGAAGCCCUGGUGAACGGCGGCCGUAACAAUAACGGUCCUAAGGUAGCGAAAUUCCUUGUCGGGUAAGUUCCGACCCGCACGAAAGGCGUAAUGAUUUGGAUACUGUCUCGGAGAGGGGCUCGGUGAAAUAGACUUGUCUGUGAAGAUGCGGACUACCUGCACCAGGACAGAAAGACCCUAUGAAGCUUUACUGUAACUUGAGAUUGAAAUUGGACUUUAUUUGCGCAGUAUAGGUGGGAGACGUUGAAAAUAUUCUUGCGGGAAUAUUGGAGUCAUCAGUGAGAUACCACUCUUAUAAUGUUAGAUUUCUAACUUUGUAUCAUUAUCUGGUCAAAGAACAGUCUCAGGCGGGCAGUUUGACUGGGGCGGUCGCCUCCCAAACGGUAACGGAGGCGCACAAAGGUUUCCUCUGAACGUGUAGAAAUCGUAUCUAGAGUGUAAAGGCAUAAGGAAGCUUGACUGUGAGACCUACAAGUCGAGCAGGGACGAAAGUCGGUCUUAGUGAUCUGACGGUGCUGAGUGGAAAGGCCGUCACUCAACGGAUAAAAGUUACUCUAGGAUAACAGGCUGAUCUCCCCCAAGAGUUCACAUCGACGGGGAGGUUUGGCACCUCGAUGUCGGCUCAUCGCAUCCUGGGGCGGUAGUACGUCCCAAGGGUUGGGCUGUUCGCCCAUGAAAGCGGUACGCGAGCUGGGUUCAGAACGUCGUGAGACAGUUCGGUCCAUAUCCGGUGUAGGCGUUAGAAUAUUGAGAGGAGCCUUCUUUAGUACGAGAGGACCGAGAAGGACAUACCUCUGGUGUACCAGUUAUCGUGCCAACGGUAAACGCUGGGUAGCUAUGUAUGGAGAGGAUAACCGCUGAAAGCAUCUAAGUGGGAAGCCCACCUCAAGAUAAGUAUUCUC